This is a long non-coding RNA of Hipposideros armiger (great roundleaf bat), 971 nucleotides long. RefSeq lists it as uncharacterized. The transcript has 6 exons. The record is from RefSeq and is a predicted model, not a curated record. Lineage: Eukaryota; Metazoa; Chordata; Mammalia; Chiroptera; Hipposideridae.
GCGCGAGCCGCGGGUCCGGUCUCACCUUUUUUCUGCUCCGGGGCGGCCCCCAGGUGUAGAGAAGGGUGAUCCAUGUGACGCGCCUUACAUCCUCCUUACCUGUGUGGGUUUGUCCAUCCACCCUAGAGCAGCGACCAAUUCUGAUUUCUAGCCGGGUCCCCAGCACCUCGACACAAAGGAGAAGCAGUAUGCACACUGAGCAAAAAGGCCUGCAGCCGAGAUGGCAGCAAAAGGUAUGUGGUUGUGCAUCUUCGGGAAGAAUUCCUACCAGUGAGAUUGUCAGAUUAGAAGCUACACUGAGUCUUGGACUGUGUCUCUGUGAGGUCACACAUCGUGAUGGAAACUGAAAACUAAGAGUUGAUCCUUCUGUCUAUAUCUCAGAAUGCUAACAGGAAAGCCUAACAAAACUGGAAUUCACCUAAGAAAAGAUGAAUGAGGGGUGAUAUAACUAAAGAGAAGAUCAUUCUAAACUUCAAAAGAAUACUGUGAUCAACUAAAAGACCUUUUAUCAGAGAGAAGUGUGAGAAAAUUGCUAACAGGAUUUGUGGGAAUUGCUUCUAGCAAAACUAAAGGAGAUGUGAGUGCAACACUCAUUUGAACAGAUUCAUCAAUGUCUGUUGCUUUUGCAGUCCUUUUCCUUUUCAAAUGUCUAUUUCAGCCUGUACAACAGUAGUUUUUUUUUUCUACUCACUAGUAAAUGACCUUUAUUUCAUAAUCUGUAUGAUGUCCUCUCCCCUGAAAUAGCCACUGACAAGGUUAUUUUCUAUUUGUCCUUUAUAAUUUGCACCACCCUGUCUGCACUGAGUGACCCAGGCCACUGGGCCAACACUGGCAGGGAGAAUCAUCAUCACAAUUCUGUUGUUUGAAUGUUUCCAAUGUUCAAAUGCCCUAAUAUUAAUAAAUUAUCCUCUGCUAUGUCUUAAGGACUGUAAAGUGUUUUUGAAAGAGUUGGGGUUUUUUUGCUUUGUUUU